RNAcentral lists this long non-coding RNA (268 nucleotides) under Mytilus galloprovincialis (Mediterranean mussel). The record is from RNAcentral. Lineage: Eukaryota; Metazoa; Mollusca; Bivalvia; Mytilida; Mytilidae.
GAUAUUCUUAGGAGUUCCGCAUGUAUGAUUGUUGAAGAAUCUCAAUUAAUGCGUUGUGUUUUCUAUAUUCGUUUAAUUGUAGUGAUAGGUAAUGAAUAAUACAAUAACGUCACUCACUAUAACGUUAUAGUUACAACGUUACCAUAGCAUAAUGUUUGUACUUUGAGUUUUUUCCGACGUUCUUGGGGCCGAGAAAACUGAAGUAUGUAACGAAAAAUUACACGGAAAUGUAAGUUCACAAUAUAGAUCAAAGAAAUUUAAAUUAAUG